UCUUCAUUGGUCUAGUGGUCAUGAUUUCCGCUUGUCACUGGCAACAGAAGCAAGCGCGGGAGACCUGGGUUCGAUUCCCAGAUGGAGAG
Molecule: non-coding RNA, 89 nt
Organism: Phyllosticta capitalensis
Lineage: Eukaryota; Fungi; Ascomycota; Dothideomycetes; Botryosphaeriales; Phyllostictaceae
Source: the annotation of a GenBank genome assembly